ACCCGCUGAACUUAAGCAUAUCAAUAAGCGGAGGAAAAGAAACCAACAGGGAUUGCCCUAGUAACGGCGAGUGAAGCGGCAACAGCUCAAAUUUGAAAUCUGGCCUCGGCCCGAGUUGUAAUUUGCAGAGGAAGCUUUAGGCGCGGCACCAACUGAGUCCCCUGGAACGGGGCGCCAUAGAGGGUGAGAGCCCCGUAUAGUUGGACGCCUAGCCUGUGUAAAGCCCCUUCGACGAGUCGAGUUGUUUGGGAAUGCAGCUCUAAAUGGGAGGUAAAUUUCUUCUAAAGCUAAAUACUGGCCAGAGACCGAUAGCGCACAAGUAGAGUGAUCGAAAGAUGAAAAGCACUUUGGAAAGAGAGUUAAAAAGCACGUGAAAUUGUUGAAAGGGAAGCGCUUGCAGCCAGACUUGCCUGUAGUUGCUCAUCCGGGUUUUUACCCGGUGCACUCUUCUAUAGGCAGGCCAGCAUCAGUUUGGGCGGUUGGAUAAAGGUCUCUGUCAUGUACCUCUCUUCGGGGAGAACUUAUAGGGGAGACGACAUGCAACCAGCCCGGACUGAGGUCCGCGCAUCUGCUAGGAUGCUGGCGUAAUGGCUGU
RNAcentral lists this ribosomal RNA (595 nucleotides) under uncultured fungus. Its description in RNAcentral is "eukaryotic LSU rRNA". It matches the Rfam family "Eukaryotic large subunit ribosomal RNA", at positions 23 to 641 of the family's 3401-position model. The record is from RNAcentral. Lineage: Eukaryota; Fungi.